This 497-nucleotide ribosomal RNA is filed under the name uncultured bacterium. RNAcentral describes it as "partial 16S ribosomal RNA". It matches the Rfam family "Bacterial small subunit ribosomal RNA", at positions 28 to 507 of the family's 1533-position model. The record is from RNAcentral.
GAUGAACGCUGGCGGCGUGCCUAAUACAUGCAAGUCGAGCGAACGGACGAGAAGCUUGCUUUUCUGAUGUUAGCGGCGGACGGGUGAGUAACACGUGGAUAACCUACCUAUAAGACUGGGAUAACUUCGGGAAACCGGAGCUAAUACCGGAUAAUAUUUUGAACCGCAUGGUUCAAAAGUGAAAGACGGUCUUGCUGUCACUUAUAGAUGGAUCCGCGCUGCAUUAGCUAGUUGGUAAGGUAACGGCUUACCAAGGCAACGAUGCAUAGCCGACCUGAGAGGGUGAACGGCAACACUGGAACUGAGAAACGGUCCAGACUCCUACGGGAGGAAGCAGUAGGGAAUCUUCCGCAAUGGGCGAAAGCCUGACGGAGCAACGCCGCGUGAGUGAUGAAGGUCGUCGGAUCGUAAAACUCUGUUAUUAGGGAAGAACAUAUGUGUAAGGAACUGUGCACAUCGUGACGGUACCUAAUCAGAAAGCCACGGCUAACUACGUG